Molecule: ribosomal RNA, 497 nt
Filed under: uncultured bacterium
Lineage: Bacteria
Description: partial 16S ribosomal RNA
Rfam family: Bacterial small subunit ribosomal RNA
Source: RNAcentral
GAUGAACGCUGGCGGCGUGCCUAAUACAUGCAAGUCGAGCGAACAGAUAAGGAGCUUGCUCCUUUGACGUUAGCGGCGGACGGGCGAGUAACACGUGGGUAACCUACCUAUAAGACUGGGAUAACUUCGGGAAACCGGAGCUAAUACCGGAUAACAUUUGGAACCGCAUGGUUCUAAAGUGAAAGAUGGUUUUGCUAUCACUUAUAGAUGGACCCGCGCCGUAUUAGCUAGUUGGUAAGGUAACGGCUUACCAAGGCGACGAUACGUAGCCGACCUGAGAGGGUGAUCGGCCACACUGGAACUGAGACACGGUCCAGACUCCUACGGGAGGCAGCAGUAGGGAAUCUUCCGCAAUGGGCGAAAGCCUGACGGAGCAACGCCGCGUGAGUGAUGAAGGGUUUCGGCUCGUAAAACUCUGUUAUUAGGGAAGAACAAAUGUGUAAGUAACUGUGCACGUCCUGACGGUACCUAAUCAGAAAGCCACGGCUAACUACGUG